CCCGCCUGAAAACAGAAACGAAGCGAGUGCAACAGCUCAUCACUAANACGACAGGUCAAGGUGUAACUUAUAGGUUGGUCAGAGAUGGGCUACAUUUCCUAACAUAGGAAAUACCUAUCCCCCCAUCAAACUUGCUCAAAAAGGUGGAUUUAGCAGUAAGUCAGACAAGAAAAGCCUGCCUGAAACCCGCCCUGAAAUGUGU
RNAcentral lists this ribosomal RNA (202 nucleotides) under Uroplatus sameiti. RNAcentral describes it as "partial small subunit ribosomal RNA". The record is from RNAcentral. Lineage: Eukaryota; Metazoa; Chordata; Lepidosauria; Squamata; Gekkonidae.